CCUUGCGGCCUCUCGGCGGAGCCGGCACGGCUUUUCUCCGCCGGAGGAAGGCGCUGGGUUCUCCGGUCCUGAGGACGGUGUCAUUGUCACGGCUGUAGGGCUGAGGAACGUGCUUUUCCAAACGUCAGGGUCACCGCAGAUUGCUGAAACAAGUAGCAGCCAAUUUUUAAUCCAGCAUUGAAUUAUUUGUGAGCCACAUUCAGUCUUCUGGAACUUUCAGACAGUCAACAACCUAUAUUGCCAAUUUCCUUACAGACUACAAAGUCAAGAGGAACCAAAAGCAAUCUCUGAGAUGUCCAUGCAGCUACCGAAUAGAGACAAUGCCUAAUCUUUACAAUAAAGAUGAGCUAGACUGAAGUAACUGGCCACUGACUAGAGUAAGUCAAAAGCAAUCAGCUUGCAAAGAACAAUCUCCAUCCUGUUUGAACCUGGGAUGAGGUCAGACACUAGUGAGUUGUUGCUGGAAUACAGAUGCCAGCUAAUCAAACAGAACCUGUCAAGGUAGUUCUACACACAACAGCUGUGGGGCUCCCACUGGCACCACAGACAUUUUCCUGUAUCUUGGUCUAUCUACAGAGCCUUCUCUGACAAGCAC
Numida meleagris (helmeted guineafowl) is the source of this 595-nucleotide long non-coding RNA. RefSeq lists it as uncharacterized. The transcript has 3 exons. The record is from RefSeq and is a predicted model, not a curated record. Lineage: Eukaryota; Metazoa; Chordata; Aves; Galliformes; Numididae.